This 1103-nucleotide long non-coding RNA is filed under the name Equus caballus (horse). RNAcentral's name for it is "lncRNA (ENSECAG00000050523.1)". The record is from RNAcentral. Lineage: Eukaryota; Metazoa; Chordata; Mammalia; Perissodactyla; Equidae.
AUGCUGUAGGAGUGAUGCCGUACAACCUCAGGAUAGGUGGGAAAAGGCCUUACUGCCUGGGUCUUUUGAGAUGCUUGUCCUAGGUGAAGCUAGACACCAGGUAUGAAGUCCAGCUAUCCGGAGUUGACUGUACUGGAGGGGCUGCGUGUAGGCUCUCUAGUCAACAGCCCAUUCAGCCUAGUUGAACCUUCAGAUACUGCAGCUCCAGCCGACAUCUGGCUGUAACCAAUAGAGAGAGACCUCAAGUGAGAACUGCUCAGCCAUGCUCUUCCUGAACCUUUGACCCACAAAAUCAUGCGAGACUGCCAUUUGCCCCGGGGGGAGUUGUCAGUACCUACGCUUGGCAUCAGUCAGUAAUUGCUUCUGAGACUACUCACAUCAUCAUCCUUAAAACCAUGGCAUUAAUAGGCCAAUAAUCUCUAGAACGUGGGGAUUGGUAAUCCUGCUGCAGUCUAGACUGCUCAUAUUAUGACUGUGAAGGGUGGCAGAAUAUGCCACCCCAAAAUAUGCCACUUUGGCACAAGGAUUAUUUUUGGCUGAAGGCAAUCGAGAAGAAGCAGAUAAAAGAAAGCUCUCUGCUCUCCCCCUAUUUGCCUAAAAGCAGGACAUAAAUUUGUACAGGUGUCCUGCCUCCUAGGAGAGACAGGAGUUAAUCACCAGAGGUAAGGUGAGACCCUUAUCAGCCCAGAGACCAGCACCUGAGGAAAUUACAUAACAAAUUUUGCUAAAACUAGCCCUUAUCUACCAUUAGUUUCCCCAUGUGUUUGCCUUCCCACAAUUUGCCACCCUACAAACUCAAAGUUCUUUUUCUUCCUCUUGUUUCUCUAAAAAUGCAUUGUUCUUUUAUUAAGAUGCUGUAUAAGCCCAAGUUCUUUUUUUUUAAUGGAGGUUUUUUUCUUCAUUGAGAAACUUAAGACUUGGGUGCGUCAAAUAAAACCAAUUUCUGGGGGAAAAAAUCGAAACCCACAGAUUUGCCCUGAGCUAACAUCUGUUGCAAAUUUUCCUCUUUUUGCUUGAGGAAGAUCGCCCUGAGCUAAUAUCUGUGCCAAUCUUCCUCUGUUUUGUACGUGGGCCGCCGCCAUAACAUGGCCUCUUAUGAGUGC